UACGGAGGGUGCAAGCGUUGCUCGGAAUUAUUGGGCGUAAAGGGCAGGUAGAUGGUCUUGUUUGUCAGAGGUGAAAGCCUUGGGCUUAACCCAAGAAGUGCCUCUGAAACGGCAAGACUGGAGUACUGGAGAGGCUAGUGGAAUACCCGGUGUAGCGGUGAAAUGCGUAGAGAUCGGGUGGAACACCAGAGGCGAAGGCGGCUAGCUGGACAGUUACUGACACUCAACUGCGAAAGCGUGGGGAGCAAACAGG
RNAcentral lists this ribosomal RNA (253 nucleotides) under uncultured bacterium. RNAcentral's name for it is "partial 16S ribosomal RNA". It matches the Rfam family "Bacterial small subunit ribosomal RNA", at positions 524 to 776 of the family's 1533-position model. The record is from RNAcentral.